CAGUGAAGACCCUGGAGUGUCCAGAGGACCCCCACAUCCUUGCCCCUUUCUUGGCCCCGCCCCUAUUCUAGAUCGCAUCCUUCACGCUGUUCCAUUCCUGUGCACUCUAAACCCCGCCCCUCAAGGCCAUCUUCUGCCAGAGGAAACCUGGUCUCGUCCGUCCGUUCCCCUGGACCUCGAUGCUUUUUAAACGAUUCUCCUUCUUCAUCUUGCAUUUGCACUCAACAAGGCCAGUCAUCUUAGGAGCCCUACCGACCGGCAUCGGUUGUACUGUGCAGUGAUUCGAGAGCAAAUCAAAGAAGCUAGGGCGUCUCGAGGAUUCCUGCGCUGCGCUUGGCGAUGACGUAGCUAGGACAGGCAGGUGACUGGUCCGAGAUAACGGCAAAUAAUGGACUAUAGACUAAUAAGGACUAUGGCUACUGGCAGCCAGAAUGAGAGUGGGAUACGUGUUAAGAAUUUUCUGAGUUAGUCACUACGAUGGUACUCAAGCAUCUCCAAAUGUUAGUUAUUAACAUUCUGCGAAAAUGGGUAGGGGCGCGGAAGGAUUCGCUAAGUGGCACACGUUGCCAGAAAGCCACAUUUCUGUGAUAUAGUUCGCAUUGUUAAGAUGCUUUGCAGAGGGACUUAGACAUAUGAUCUUGGACAAGUCACAGCUCUUCCCUCAGUUUCCUUAUCUGGAAAACUGUGAUGCUUGCACCAAGACCAGAAUGGACUUGGGAGGGGUGUUUUCCUGGAUGGCAGCUCAACCUACCUGCCCCCUCCACUGAGUAAUCAAAGUAAUAGCAGAUGGUGGACUGAAGAGGGAAAAUUGUCCCUGUGACUCUUUAGGACUCCCACCCUGUGUCUAUGUAUCAGUCCCACUGGAGGACAAUUUGUCCUCCUGAUCUCCCCUUCUCUCCCCUUCCCUUUUCCUGCUGGGCUGUAUGCUGAAGCUGGAAGGAAACCUUCUGGAGUUCUGCAUCACUGACUAGAAAAUAGAUUGACAGUCCCAAAAUCCAGUAGCCAGACCCUCCGACCCUCUUGCAAAUGCCACUUUCAGUCACCUGCAUUGCCUUAAGGGUUAUGGGUCUAAAUCUACACACACUAAAAAUAUAUAAUGAUACAUAAUAAAGAAAUUCUGGGGUGUGAUACCUACAGAGCAAUAUAUUAAACAGUGAAGUCUCAUUUCCUGUACAACAGGAGUCAGUAUAUUUUAUAAAGGGCUAGGUUGCAAAUAAAGGCAUUGCGGACACAUGUAAUUUUUUUUUAAGACAGGGUUUCUCUGUAUAACAACCCUGGCUGUCCUGGAAUUUGUUCUGUAGACUAGACCAGCCUCGAACUCACAGAGAUCCACCUGCCUCUACCUCCUGAGUGCUGGGUUUAAUGGUAUGUGCCACCAUGCCCAGCAUAUUUUAUUUAUUUUGCCUGUCUGUUUGCCAGUGCCUAAGAAGGCCAGAAAGGGGCAUUGGAUCCUCCAAGAGCUGACGUUACCAGUGUUUGAGCCAUUUGAUGUUGGUGCUAGGAUCCAAACACUCAGCCAGCUCUCUACCUCAAUAACCAUUUAAAAACCUGGUUCUCCACAUGUGGGUCACGACCUCUUUGCCAAACCUCUGUCUCUAAAAAUAUUUACAUUACAAUCCAUAGCUGUAGCAAAAUUACAGUUAUGGAUUGACAACAAAAAUGAUUUUAUGUUUGGGGCGCCACAACAUUAGGAACUGUAUUAAAAGGAAGAUUGAGAACUGCUGACUUAAAACUAUAAAAAUCAGCCCACAGUAUGGCUUUUAAUGAUCUCUGCUGCAGAGUUCUUGGUUUCCUUCAUCUGGCUGAUUUCUUUUACAGAAUGAAGGCAAAUAUGCUGGAUAGAUUUAUGUCAACUUGACACGAGCUGAAGUCAUCUGAGAGGAGGGAAGCUCAAUCAGGAAAAUGCCUUCAUCAAGCUGGGCAUGGUAGCAUAUGCCUUCAACCCCAAUACUGUCUGUCUGUAUAUUGUGACAGACAUGACCAUGUUGUUUGGGGAGGAUUGUAGAAGGACUUUGCAACUUGGGGCAAGGAAAGCCAUUAGUGUUCAGUGCUUGCUGAGCUGUCCUGUAGGAGCUUGGAAAAUAAGAAUGUUGUGUUGAGGGAAAUGCAAAAGACGGAGGCCUGGUGUGUGGAGUUUCGGAGGGAAGGUUUUUAUUUUUUAUUUAUUUAUUUUUUGAGACAUGGUUUCUCUGUGUAGCCCUGACUGUUCAGAGGGAAGUUUAAAGACUCUAUCUGGGCCAUUUGUUAUUUUGAAUUGAGAUCCUGUGGUUCUGGUCAGCUUGAGCUGAAGAAUCAGCUGUGAUUAACAAGAUACCAGAACUACUAAGGUGAAACCGUGGCUUUGCUGGGCUACUCAAGGCUGGCCAGCUGGAGGUGAGGAACUAGAGGUGUGGGAAGUGUUUCUUCAGAGCCAGCACACAGAAGCUGUGGUCAAGGUUGUACCUUGUGCUUACAGCUGAACUUGAUAGCGUAAGCAUCACUCAGGUGGUACUGGUUUUGAAGGCAUGAUGGUGUCAUGGAGAGCAGCUGAGGCUUGGCACUGUGAGAGGCCGGGAGAGGCCAUUGGUGAAGGUGCAGCCUCAGCGGCAGUUGAAGGCCCAGGACUGAAGGGAUCGUGUCAAGAAGCUGAGGCCUAGCACCAUGAGGAGAGGCUAGGAGAGGCUACUGGUGAAAGUGCAGCCCAGUAGCAGCAAGGGACCCCAGCAUUUUGGAGAUGCCGGUGCCAUGGGAUGACCACCAAGAACAGCAGCGGAGUGGAGUGGAGCCAGCCAGAGCCUAGAAGACUGUGUGCCCUGCAGAGGGCGGAGCCAGAGGAAUGACCCGAGCUCCUUGGAGGAACACACAGGAUCUGCUGGGCAUGAGAUCCAGAGGCUUAUUCAUGCUGGACAAGUGCAUUGCUACUGAACUACACCCUCAACCCUGACACAGAAGCUCUUUUACUGCAAAGAUGUACUGCUCCGUCUGAAAGUCAAGGUUGCUGCUACCACGUGGGUUCCUGCAGCAAGGAAUGUGCUGACAUCCUUCAUCUGCAGGACAUCAAGGACCCUGGACACUCUAUGAAGAAGAAUGAAAUGGGAUACUAUUCUGCCCAAAAGAGGAAGUCACAUCAUUUGCAGCAAAAUGCAUGGAACUGGAGGCCAUUGUGCCAGGUAAUGAAAGGUACCAAGAUUUUCUGGCACUCUAAGUGGCUACGUCCUCCGGCUCAUGUUCCUAUUGGCUGCUGGUUCUGCACCUGCGCAGAGACUCUAGGGUUGGCAGUCCGUGUUUCCGAUCCAGAACUUCCGUUGCUGUUGGUGAAAGUAGGUUCGAAUCAUGUCUAACAAAGUCCAAAUUGCAGCCCUGUUAAGAAGCUGGCAUUACUGGCUUGUACUAAGGUUUGGUACAAAGUGCAUCCGGUAAUCAUUUUCAGUCUCUUAGACCUGUGCCGUUUCAUUUUGAAUUGAAUUUCAGACACACCGUUCUCAACAAUGUUAAGAAAACUCUCAGACUGGACAUGGUAGGUCCUGGUUUUUUGUUUGUUUUGUUUUUACGA
Long non-coding RNA from Mesocricetus auratus (golden hamster), 3532 nucleotides. RefSeq lists it as uncharacterized. Lineage: Eukaryota; Metazoa; Chordata; Mammalia; Rodentia; Cricetidae. The transcript is spliced from 6 exons. The record is from RefSeq and is a predicted model, not a curated record.